AUUGAACGCUGGCGGCAGGCCUAACACAUGCAAGUCGAGCGAGCGGCGGGCGGGUGAGUAAAGUAUGGGGACUGCUGGAUAGAGGGGGAUAACUACUGGAAACGGUAGCUAAUAACGCAUACUCUCUGAUAACCCAUAUGGGAUUAGCUAGUAGGUGGGGUAAUGGCUCACCUAGGCGACGAUCCCUACCUGGGCUGCGCGGAUGAUCAGCCAAACUGGACCUGGGACACGGCCAAGACUCCGAGGGAGGAACCAGUGGGGAAUAUUGCACAAUGAGGGAAAGCAGGAUAGAGACAUGCCGCGGAGAUGAAGAAGGCCUUAGGGUUGUAAAGGACUGUCAGUCGGGAGACGUUACCGAAAGAAGAAGCAACGGCUAACUCCGUGCCAGCAGCCGCGGUAAUAC
RNAcentral lists this ribosomal RNA (403 nucleotides) under uncultured bacterium. Its description in RNAcentral is "partial 16S ribosomal RNA". It matches the Rfam family "Bacterial small subunit ribosomal RNA", at positions 29 to 526 of the family's 1533-position model. The record is from RNAcentral.